AACGAAGCACAGAUGUAGAAUUUCUUCGGAACUGAAGCGCCUGUGACUGAGUGGCGGACGGGUGAGUAACGCGUGGGCAACCUGCCCCAUACCGGGGGACAACAGCUGGAAACGGCUGCUAAUACCGCAUACGUUUUCGGUGCCGCAUGGCGCCGAAAAGAAAACUCCGGUGGUAUGGGAUGGGCCCGCGUCUGAUUAGCUAGUUGGGAGGGUAACGGCCUACCAAGGCGACGAUCAGUAGCCGGCCUGAGAGGGCGACCGGCCACAUUGGGACUGACACACGGCCCAAACUCCUGCGGGAGGCAGCAGUGGGGAAUAUUGCACAAUUGGGGAAACCCUGAUGCAGCGACGCCGCGUGAGCGAAGAAGUGCCUCCGUAUAUAAAGCUCUAUCAGCAGGGAAGAAAGUAAAAAUACCUGACUAUGAAGCCCCGGCUAAGUACGAAACAGCAGCCGCGGUAAUACGUAGGGGGCAAGCGUUAUCCGGAUUCACUGGGCGUAAAGGGAGCGCAGGCGGCGCGGCAAGUCUGAUGUGAAAGCCCGGGGCUCAACCCCGGGUCUGCAUUGGAAACUGUCGAGCUGGAGUGUCGGAGGGGUAAGCGGAAUUCCUAGUGUAGCGGUGAAAUGCGU
This 628-nucleotide ribosomal RNA is filed under the name uncultured bacterium. RNAcentral's name for it is "bacterial SSU rRNA". It matches the Rfam family "Bacterial small subunit ribosomal RNA", at positions 50 to 691 of the family's 1533-position model. The record is from RNAcentral.